CGUAACUUACAAAUGCAAACUGAACUUUUCUUUCACCAUUGAGAUUUCGAUGUCAUGCUGUGUUAACAAACGUAUGUUAUCGGGUGUCCCAAAAGCUGAGAUAUUUCACUGCUAUAAAAAAAAAUCUUUUAAGGGGAGAUAACUCUAAAUUAUUUUACUUUUCAAAUUAAGAGAUUGUAAUUGAUGACAUUUGUCUUUUUUACCUAUAACCCC
Molecule: long non-coding RNA, 213 nt
Filed under: Mytilus galloprovincialis (Mediterranean mussel)
Lineage: Eukaryota; Metazoa; Mollusca; Bivalvia; Mytilida; Mytilidae
Source: RNAcentral